UGGGGAAUAUUGCACAAUGGGCGCAAGCCUGAUGCAGCGACGCCGCGUGGGGGAUGACGGCCUUCGGGUUGUAAACUCCUUUCGCAACCGACGAAGCUUUUGUGACGGUAGGUUGAGAAGAAGCACCGGCUAACUACGUGCCAGCAGCCGCGGUAAUACGUAGGGUGCGAGCGUUGUCCGGAAUUACUGGGCGUAAAGAGCUCGUAGGUGGUUUGUCGCGUCGUUUGUGGAAUACCGCAGCUUAACUGCGGGGUUGCAGGCGAUACGGGCAUAACUUGAGUGCUGUAGGGGAGACUGGAAUUCCUGGUGUAGCGGUGGAAUGCGCAGAUAUCAGGAGGAACACCGAUGGCGAAGGCAGGUCUCUGGGCAGUAACUGACGCUGAGGAGCGAAAGCAUGGGGAGCGAACAGG
This 410-nucleotide ribosomal RNA is filed under the name uncultured bacterium. RNAcentral's name for it is "bacterial SSU rRNA". It matches the Rfam family "Bacterial small subunit ribosomal RNA", at positions 355 to 776 of the family's 1533-position model. RNAcentral also lists the same sequence under 1 other name. The record is from RNAcentral.